AGAGUUUGAUCCUGGCUCAGAUUGAACGCUGGCGGCAGGCCUAACACAUGCAAGUCGAACGGUAACAGGAAGAAGCUUGCUUCUUUGCUGACGAGUGGCGGACGGGUGAGUAAUGUCUGGGAAACUGCCUGAUGGAGGGGGAUAACUACUGGAAACGGUAGCUAAUACCGCAUAACGUCGCAAGACCAAAGAGGGGGACCUUCGGGCCUCUUGCCAUCGGAUGUGCCCAGAUGGGAUUAGCUAGUAGGUGGGGUAACGGCUCACCUAGGCGACGAUCCCUAGCUGGUCUGAGAGGAUGACCAGCCACACUGGAACUGAGACACGGUCCAGACUCCUACGGGAGGCAGCAGUAGGGAAUCUUCCGCAAUGGACGAAAGUCUGACGGAGCAACGCCGCGUGAGUGAUGAAGGUUUUCGGAUCGUAAAGCUCUGUUGUUAGGGAAGAACAAGUGCGAGAGUAACUGCUCGCACCUUGACGGUACCUAACCAGAAAGCCACGGCUAACUACGUGCCAGCAGCCGCGGUAAUACGUAGGUGGCAAGCGUUGUCCGGAAUUAUUGGGCGUAAAGGGCUCGCAGGCGGUUUCUUAAGUCUGAUGUGAAAGCCCCCGGCUCAACCGGGGAGGGUCAUUGGAAACUGGGAAACUUGAGUGCAGAAGAGGAGAGUGGAAUUCCACGUGUAGCGGUGAAAUGCGUAGAGAUGUGGAGGAACACCAGUGGCGAAGGCGACUCUCUGGUCUGUAACUGACGCUGAGGAGCGAAAGCGUGGGGAGCGAACAGGAUUAGAUACCCUGGUAGUCCACGCCGUAAACGAUGAGUGCUAAGUGUUAGGGGGUUUCCGCCCCUUAGUGCUGCAGCUAACGCAUUAAGCACUCCGCCUGGGGAGUACGGUCGCAAGACUGAAACUCAAAGGAAUUGACGGGGGCCCGCACAAGCGGUGGAGCAUGUGGUUUAAUUCGAAGCAACGCGAAGAACCUUACCAGGUCUUGACAUCCUCUGACAACCCUAGAGAUAGGGCUUUCCCUUCGGGGACAGAGUGACAGGUGGUGCAUGGUUGUCGUCAGCUCGUGUCGUGAGAUGUUGGGUUAAGUCCCGCAACGAGCGCAACCCUUGAUCUUAGUUGCCAGCAUUCAGUUGGGCACUCUAAGGUGACUGCCGGUGACAAACCGGAGGAAGGUGGGGAUGACGUCAAAUCAUCAUGCCCCUUAUGACCUGGGCUACACACGUGCUACAAUGGACAGAACAAAGGGCUGCAAGACCGCAAGGUUUAGCCAAUCCCAUAAAUCUGUUCUCAGUUCGGAUCGCAGUCUGCAACUCGACUGCGUGAAGCUGGAAUCGCUAGUAAUCGCGGAUCAGCAUGCCGCGGUGAAUACGUUCCCGGGCCUUGUACACACCGCCCGUCACACCACGAGAGUUUGCAACACCCGAAGUCGGUGAGGUAACCUUUAUGGAGCCAGCCGCCGAAGGUGGGGCAGAUGAUUGGGGUGAAGUCGUAACAAGGUAACCGUA
This 1507-nucleotide ribosomal RNA is filed under the name uncultured Bacillus sp. RNAcentral's name for it is "partial 16S ribosomal RNA". It matches the Rfam family "Bacterial small subunit ribosomal RNA". The record is from RNAcentral. Lineage: Bacteria; Bacillati; Bacillota; Bacilli; Caryophanales; Bacillaceae.